Molecule: ribosomal RNA, 342 nt
Filed under: Salmonella enterica
Lineage: Bacteria; Pseudomonadati; Pseudomonadota; Gammaproteobacteria; Enterobacterales; Enterobacteriaceae
Description: bacterial SSU rRNA
Source: RNAcentral
AAAUUGAAGAGUUUGAUCAUGGCUCAGAUUGAACGCUGGCGGCAGGCCUAACACAUGCAAGUCGAACGGUAGCACAGAGAGCUUGCUCUYGGSUGACGAGUGGCGGACGGGUGAGUAAUGUCUGGGAAACUGCCUGAUGGAGGGGGAUAACUACUGGAAACGGUGGCUAAUACCGCAUAACGUCGCAAGACCAAAGAGGGGGACCUUCGGGCCUCUUGCCAUCAGAUGUGCCCAGAUGGGAUUAGCUUGUUGGUGAGGUAACGGCUCACCAAGGCGACGAUCCCUAGCUGGUCUGAGAGGAUGACCAGCCACACUGGAACUGAGACACGGUCCAGACUCCUA